Non-coding RNA from Chlorocebus sabaeus (green monkey), 2558 nucleotides. The record is from RefSeq and is a predicted model, not a curated record. Lineage: Eukaryota; Metazoa; Chordata; Mammalia; Primates; Cercopithecidae.
AUAACAGAUUUUUAAAAAUUAUUUCCAUAAAUUGACAUUCUCUGUUUUAUGCAUGAAACCAGUAUAUCUCACUUUACACAAUAUAUAUGUUUCUGGAAAAUUGUAUUUAAAUCUUGUUUUGCUAAAUCAAGUAAUUUUAGAUGUGCCAGUUCUACAAAAUGAGAUGGAAAUUUUGAAAAUGAAAAUAUUCAUUUAAUACAAAUAAUUUAUCUUAUUUUAUUUCUUUUUCUCUGUUGUUACCUUGAGAAAACAUAGGGUGUGUUCAUUAACUGCAGUCUAGAUGUACUUUCAUUUUCUUGUUCUAACUGUAGUGUACAUUGCAGAUAUUUUAGUACAACAUCUUUUCAUCACAGAAAUGAUAUCUUCAGGGAAAAGACUUUGAGAAAGUGCCUGAAGUAACAGAACACAUAUUUUCUUCUGAUAUCUGGCUAAAGAAUGAAAUUUGGCAGAAAUAUUUAAUGAAGAGGAAUCUGAACAUAGCAAUUGAGAAAGGAGAAAGACUGGGAGAAGACUCCAGAUGUUGUAAAGCAAAGAGAGGAUGAGGCACAGGAAGCAGCUCUUAUUAUUUCUGUUGCACAGCUCAGAGAACUCCAAGCAAUUGAUUCUAUCCUAAGGACAUAUUUUUUCAAUUUGAGAUGUAAUUAAUUUGUUUUCCAGUAAAAUAGAUAUUAGUAGAUCUAUAACAUACAGGAAACAAUCGAAAAUAGAGAUAAGUGGUAAUAAUACCUCAUUUCAUAAGACAUCUUUUUCAGAAAACUAUUCUUCAGUAUGUGGUGCAUUGGCUUUCUAGGAAAGAAUGGGAGUGAGAACCCUGCUGAAAUGAAUAAUGGCCUUGGGGAGAGGGAAAGAGAAGCAAGAAAGGAGCAGUUAACAGGAAAAUGAGGUCAUAUGGAAAGAAAGAAAUAGAUCAGGGCAUUUUUAGGAGGUAAUAUCAAUUGGGUUUAGUGACUGUAUUUAGAGGAUGGGAGAGGAGGUAUCAUCUAGGGUUUUGGCUUGGACCACAGGUAGAUCUUGUUAAGGCUGUAUGAAACAGAAAAUCCAGGAGCUGACACAGGUUUGUGGGGGAAAUGAUACAAAUAUAAAUCAUACAAGGAUACGAACCCUGUAGAUUUUACAACUUUGAGCUCUAUCCUUCUUAGGCCUCCUCUUCUAAGCAGCAUAAGCUACUGCUCCCUACAUGUUGCCUGUUCAUAAAGUCUGAGGCAGGGGAAUCGCUUGAACUCAGGAGGCGGAGGUUGCAGUGAGCCGAGAUGGUGCCAUUGCACUCCAGCCUGGCGACAGAGUGAGACUCCAUCUUAAAAAUAUAAAAAAAGAAAAGAAAACAAACAAACAAACAAAACAAAGAACUUUAUGCACCUUCUGGAAUAACAAAAUGCAAAUGUAGUAUUACCUACCAGGAUAGAAAUUGGAGGCUAGAAUAUGUUGGGUAGGGUAGAGAGACUAGAGGGAAUGAUUUAGCAAUAAAAUAGGUUUAAAUAUCUUCUCACAUGCCCAGACUUAAUUAGCUUUGUAUUAUUCCUGUUAGUAAGCCGGGAAUUAGUACUAGGUGAUAAGCAAGGAUGCGCAGGGCCUUGUGAGGAAAAAAGUUACUGUAGCAGUUCUGGUUGCUUACCCUUUGCACGUCUCCAGGGGAACCAUCUUUGACCUUGGCCAACCCCUGGAUUACAAUCCUGGGAGUGUUCCUUAUGUUAGUGAUGAUGAUUUUGUUGUAUACACCUGGAGCAUUGGAUCAUUCCAUACUGGCUCACCAAGUUGUGUUGCACAAACACCAAGAUUGAUAAAUAGGCACCUGGUUUUAUUAUUGGGCCCCUGAGUUUUGGUUGCCAUAGCCAAUUCCAUAGCAAAGUAUGCAUACAUGAACAGCCUCCCACAGAAGCCUUAGACCCUGAGGCUCAAGCGGGCUUCUGUGGGCAGAGACAUUCCACAGGUGUCUACAGUUUGCUGAGAGAGAGAAUUCCUGUGUAGCUGCAGACAAAGGACAACAGAAUCCUAUGUUGGACCUCUCUGGACUCCACUGAUACAUCUUUUCCUGUUGCUUUUGCUCUGUAUCCUUUGCUGUCAUAAAUCUUAGCCCUGUGUUAAUAUAUAGCCUGCUAUUGAGUCUUGUGAGGCCUCUGGGAUCACCAAAGGAAACAACCAUAUACCUAGUACUGAAGAGAUUUAAAGCCCAAUUUGUCCAUCUGAGUCUUGAUAGGAUUCACUGAAAAAGAAUAAUCAACAUAUGUAUCUGCAGUGUCAACGUUUAAAUGAAAUCAAGGCUUUAGUCUUUGUCCACCAGACAUUUGUAGUCUUUACAGGGACAUGACACAUGUUAGGGAAAUGCUUAUGAGCAUAAGUAUAAAUAAAAGCAAAUUGGCAAUGAUGGCAGAAUUAAAGAGAGAUUAAAAUUGGUAAAAGUCAAGCAAGGCUACUGAAAGAUGGUAGGUAUUUAAGAAGAGAUAUAGAGCUGCAUUAUCAAAUGAUAGCCAUAAUUUUUCCCCAUAUGUACUUUAGCUGUAUGUAAAAACUAAAAUAAAAAACAUUUUUCUUGGAUUUUAUCUGAUGUAUUCCAAGCUCAA